AUUGAACGCUAGCGGGAUGCUUUACACAUGCAAGUCGAACGGCAGCGCGGACUUCGGUCUGGCGGCGAGUGGCGAACGGGUGAGUAAUGUAUCGGAACGUGCCCAGUAGCGGGGGAUAACUACGCGAAAGCGUAGCUAAUACCGCAUACGCCCUACGGGGGAAAGCAGGGGAUCGUAAGACCUUGCACUAUUGGAGCGGCCGAUAUCGGAGUAGCUAGUUGGUGAGGUAACGGCUCACCAAGGCGACGAUCCGUAGCUGGUUUGAGAGGACGACCAGCCACACUGGGACUGGGACACGGCCCAGACUCCUACGGGAGGCAGCAGUGGGGAAUUUUGGACAAUGGGGGCAACCCUGAUCCAGCCAUCCCGCGUGUGCGAUGAAGGCCUUCGGGUUGUAAAGCACUUUUGGCAGGAAAGAAACGUCGCGGGCUAAUACCCCGUGGAACUGACGGUACCUGCAGAAUAAGCACCGGCUAACUACGUG
RNAcentral lists this ribosomal RNA (484 nucleotides) under uncultured bacterium. RNAcentral describes it as "partial 16S ribosomal RNA". It matches the Rfam family "Bacterial small subunit ribosomal RNA", at positions 30 to 507 of the family's 1533-position model. The record is from RNAcentral.